UACAUAAAUUUUAAUAAAAACAAUAAUUUCCAUUAAUAAUAUAAAAUAAAAAAAAUAAAGAUGUCAAUACAAUACUAAAAGCUGAAUAAUCUCAACUCUUAACCUGUCAAUGUCGACAAAUUAAAUCGACCAAUAGGAGUUGAGCUUUGCACCACGUCAGAUGCGUCAGUUAACUCAGCUGUACUUCAAUCACAUUUUACGUUUGGGUUUCGUAAAACAUAGUGCAGUUUCACCACAUUUAAUCAACCAAUCAUAGAUCAACUUCCUUCCACAUCACCAUAUUGUUUGCAAAGACAGCGAUUUCUCAGCUUCACCUUCGUCGUUAAUCAUCUUUACUUUGUAGUUGAUUUUACUCUGUCUCUCACUCUUUUACAUUUAAUUCUUCAUUAAUCCUUGCAACUGUCCACGUUCCGACUUCCGUUCUUUCAUAUACGAACUCUUCAAAAAAUUCAGUACACCCACACCAAACGAUGGCUAUGAAAUCUGGAAAAACUGAAUCAUAUUUACUCUUCCUUUCCAAAAGACAAUUGUUCAGAUUGGUAACACCGGUGUGAAUCUUUGUAAGCUAAAAAGUCAGAGACUUCGAGAUUAGCGACUGGGACAUUAGAUGGAGUUUGAGUCGAGCAAGAUAGAAAAAAAGAGAUGGAGUUGGUUCCGGCGAGGGAAGAGAGACAUGGGUAGCUUGAUGGAAUUGGUUCAGAGACAAUGGUGAAGUUACAUGAAGCCAAGCAAGAAGAAGGAGAAGAAGAAGAAGAAGAAGAUGAGAAAGGCGGAGAAGGAGAGAAGACAGAGACACAAGGAGGAGGAGGGGGAUGGAGUAAGAUGACGACAACGGCGUAGAUUAGGUUUGGUUUACUUAGGUUUGGUUUAAUCUGUUUUGAAUAGUUUUUGAGUAAAUGUGUUUGGUAUUUUUUUUUAUCUUUCAGUGUAGACUAUUUCUUAUGCUUAGAUAGUUACAUCUGCUGUUCUAACUACUGGUUUUGCAUUUUUGUACUUUGGACUUUUCUCAUUCUCGUGUGCAUAACAGCUCUAAUCUCA
Raphanus sativus (radish) is the source of this 1038-nucleotide long non-coding RNA. RefSeq lists it as uncharacterized. The record is from RefSeq and is a predicted model, not a curated record. The transcript is spliced from 3 exons. NCBI's taxonomy places the organism in Eukaryota, Viridiplantae, Streptophyta, Magnoliopsida, Brassicales, Brassicaceae.